Paramisgurnus dabryanus is the source of this 2417-nucleotide long non-coding RNA. RefSeq lists it as uncharacterized. NCBI's taxonomy places the organism in Eukaryota, Metazoa, Chordata, Actinopteri, Cypriniformes, Cobitidae. The record is from RefSeq and is a predicted model, not a curated record.
CACGUGAUUAUUCAACCGGAGACGCGCGUUGGGUAUUUACAGAUUUUCUCCUCAGACAAGUGUUUCUGUUUUGUGGUCGAUUCUGGAUCCUUUUCUUGGUGUGUCUUGAUGUUUUCUAUUGGCUAAAGAAAUGUCUCUGUGAAACUGACAAUCUCAGGUAGGAGCUGCUGGUUUGUGGUUGGCAGUAUGGAUCACAGUCUGCGACUCAUGAGGAGCUGGGCUGGAGACAUGAAGAGGUUGUCAACAGGAAUCAUGGGUUCCUUGGUAUUUGAAUUAUGUUGAACCAGGCAAGUACUCCAUCUUUCGAUCAUGUGUUCUAUCUGCUUACACAUUUCUAGCCAGAAUAACAUUUCGUGCUCUUAGCUUAGACUUCUCAGCGUGUGCGCAUAUCUCAGGUCAGAUAUGACUAUUUUCUUAUCUUCACUGGUCAAUGAAAGUUUGUCUUAAAAGUCAAUAAUGUAUGUGGCAAAUUGUCUCCUAUUUGCAUGCCAUCCAUCCAAGAUCAUCUAUCUGAGCUGCUGAAAACUGCCUCGGUACGGAUCUGUUGGAGCUUUGUGUCACUGACUGUAUUUCUGCAAAUUCCUGUUCCGUGUCACAUGGCUUAUGCAAGACUGAAUCCAUAAAGGGGAUGGUCUGUGGAGACUGUGGGCGAUUCCUUCUGCUGUCAUUUAAACAUGAGCAGGAGUAAUGACGGGAUUUAAAUGGACGCAGCUAAUAUUAUGCCAGAGUCCGCUGCUUAUGCUGUAACCAUAAAGCAACCAGGACAACACACCUGGAGUGACCGAGAGCAUGAUGAAGAAAGAAUCGGACGAGAAAAUAUCAACUGGUGCCCAUGAUGAGACAUGUUGUUCUUGGACCUGCUUUUUCUGUUUAGUAAUAAGUGGUUUUAUGUGGUUACAUAAAAGUAAUUUAAUAUUCAAUCCACAAGCUAAAUUUCCUACAUUUUCUUAAAAGGGUAGUUGACCCAAAAAUGAAAAUUCUGUCAUUUACACAAACAGUUUGGUUACAAACAUUUCUCACAAUAUCUGCCUUCCUGUUUAUCAGAACAAAGAAAUUUAUGUGGGUUUGUAACAACAUGAGAGUGUGUAAAUGAUGACAUAAUUUUCAUUUUUGGGUGAAGUACCCCUUUAACAUUUUUAUACCCAGGGGUAGGGGUGUGCAGCGGAGUCAGUAUUUGUAUCUGUAACAGUCUCAAAAUUAUUUGUAUCUGUAUUUGUAUUAUAACUUAAAUAACUGUAAAUAUUUAUUAUUAAAUUAAAUUAUUAAAAAUAAUAAUACAAAAUUUUAAUCAAAAAGACAAAUAACUUGAUUCUCGUUAGUAAUACUCAUGGAAAGCAAACAACUCAUUUUUAAAGCCUCAUACAGCUUGUGCUAUGCAUCAUUGUAUUGUAGCAUUAAAAUAACAAACUUGAAAGCACGUUGACAAAACUGUAGGCUAGAUCACCCUUAAAUGUUUAUUGUGCCUGUCAGCACAAUUCCAUGAGACCCAUUCUUUCUAAAUGAGUGCGAUGUUUUCAGAAAAAAAUAAGUAGCCUACAUUAAUCCCUAGUCUAGCGAUUUAAAAAUAGUAAUUAAACAUCUAAAAUGAUCGUUAUUUGUAAGUUUUCUAAAAGAGUGAAAUAUAACCUAAUACUACUCAUAUAUCCAUGUCUGACAUCUUGGUUUCAGUUUAAAAACAUGCAGGAAUUUGAAAAUAAAAUGCAGGACUUGCUUGAUGCUUAAAGAGUUAUUAAAAAGUUCGGGAACUGAUUUAUGUUAAAAAGUUAUUAAGAUCGACAAACUCGCGCUGACUGACAGAUCCGAAAUGCAACGCAGGGACACGCAAGUGGCGCAGUAUAUGCACAGAAUAGUUCAAAAACAUCUGUUUUGAUAAGAAUUUACGAAAGCAUAAUAAGCAUUAGAACAAACUUGCUGAACUCAUUUUUAUCUAUGUCCAUAUAGCGUUUGCGCGAAUAUAACGAAUUGUUUUAAAAAAAACUUUCUUAUUAAUCUUCAUCUAAAUAAAUAAAUAAUCAGAUAUUUGUUCAAAUUUUUAAAUAACAGUAUGCUCUAUUAAAAAUCAGUUUUGACUUAUUUCAAAACCAGCAACAUGAUUUAAAACAAUAAUGUAAUUAGAAAUAUUUAAUUCAAAUGUUUCAGUUGUUAUUUGCUUACUUUAUUUUUAUGUUAAUUGCAAUUCAUGUCAUAGUAUUCUUCAGUUUAAAUUUUGCUUUUAAAAUGUUACAUUUUCAUAUUUUUAUCUAUUUACUUAUUUAUUUUAUAUUCACCUAGAUUGACAAUAAAGCUUGCUUCGACUAGAAGUAAUUAAAAUAUCAUCUACCGGUGCCACAGAGAUACAGAGUUAUUAACGAAUAUUUUAUUAUCAGAGUGCAGCAUUUUAUCAAGGUUUUCUGGUCUAAUUAAAUAAAACGGAAUUU